UAGGGAGUCAGUGCAAUGCCACGUGGCCACUAACAGACCGGAUGCUGCACGGGGGCAGUGACCAUCUCUUCCUCUAGGACUUGACACCACUCGGCACAUUUCGGGUUCUGCUGCCAUGUGAGAGCCAGCAUUUCACAGGGUUUCGAGCUGGAGCAGUUUCACUUGAACCCCAGCCCAGAUUCACUGGCAGCUUGAUGGCCUUGGCCUGAGCUACAGGUUUGACUCAACCCUCCAAAAGCAGGUAAGACGCUAAAGGCAACACCUAGGCUGCAGGCCUGCAACUCCCGCUGGGGCAGGCAAGGGAAGAGAAGCAGAGCAGGGGCUGUUAAGUCUCUGUCCCAUCCAGCAAGCACAAGGCAGGAGA
Long non-coding RNA from Chelonia mydas (Green sea turtle), 364 nucleotides. RefSeq lists it as uncharacterized. Lineage: Eukaryota; Metazoa; Chordata; Testudines; Cheloniidae. The record is from RefSeq and is a predicted model, not a curated record. The transcript is spliced from 3 exons.